CCCCUGUUCCAAAUAAGGUCCCAUUGUGAGGUACUGAGAGUUAGGACUUCAACACAUGAUUUUUGAGGGAGCGCAGUGAGAUCCACAACACAGUCACGCUGUGUGCCUUUCUGCAUGAUUUCUGUGUCCAGGACCUUGGCUUUCUCCUGCUUUCCUCUUCCUUAUAUCACACAGUUCUGGUUCCAAACUAGUAUUUAGUAAACCCACACCCACAGGUCACCUAUGGCAGUGCUCCGUAUUCUGAGCACAGCUGACUUCCCACCUUACAGUUCAGGCCCUGUGCUCUGGGAAGAAAGGAAGUUUGCUGUCUUAGGAACAUCCCAGACGAUAAGGAGCUAAGAGAACAACUUGUCUGAAGGACCCUUUGAUGACCCACUCAUCCUUCCUACACUCACGCUGUCUUUGCUUGUGUCUCCUUACUCACCGACUUUUCCUCUUAGCAAAUUCCUUCAGACAAAGAGUCUCCUACCUCCUUAAGCCCAGCCCGCCCCAAGAGAGGAUCUCGCAGGCAGGCCAUGCAUAGAGAUGAUCAGCAUGGGCACCGCAGAGCAAGGUUAAUGAAGAGAAGUUUUAAUUCUAUGGCCAUCUCCACACCCCCUCUCCAUUUAUAUUUUCAACAUAUGGCUGGCUUUUUAAUGUCGCUUUAAUGUUUUCUCUUGUAUUUAAUUAUUUAAAGAUUUAAUAAGAAACUGCUGAGAAUCAAUUGCACACAAGGGACACAUUUCUUUGAAUUUUUGUUCUUUUUUCUCUGCUUUUGCAUAAGAGUUAAUUUAAGUCAUUGGAAACUAAAAACACAAAGCUAAAAGGGGGAAAGAAGAGAACAACGUAAAGGCAUUCAGAAAAGGAUAUCUGUAGGUGAAAUCAAACCCCCAACGGCAUGUGAUGUGUAUCUCUUAUCAGCACUAGGCAGUGGCGAUAACCAAGGAACCCAAAACAAAUCACUUUCAUUCCAUUCGUGUCUAAUAAUAGAAAGUCAGUAGCUUAUAUGUCAAAAAUUUUCUUUUUAAAAUAAAUUCCUUUUGGGGUUGGUUCUGUGUGUUGGGGGCAAGGAAAUGGAAGGAUAUUCACCACUACAGGGGUCUAGUUUUAUUGACAGAGAAAGGGAAUUUUUAUAUCACUUUCAGAAUUUUAAAUGGUUUGUUGCUGAAUAUUUUAGGAUCUCCUUUCCACAUUUAUAACUAUUAUCUGAAUGAACUAAUCCAGUUAAGAAGGCAUUCAUUCAUUAACAUAUUCUGCUUAUGUGUUCUGAAUGACCAACUUUGCCAGACAAUAUGCCAGGUAUGAAGGAUCCAACCAGAAGAAAUGCCAACUCGACCCCUGCUUUCAUAGCCACUCACACCCACCCUUGGGGAGCAGAGUCACAAAGGACAGUUAUCGUGCGUGUGCUCUGAUGUGGGAAGGACAGGAUACUACAGAAGCCAAGGGAAAGGCACUCAAUCCAGAUUGGAAGGAAAGGGAAAUGCUUCCUGGAAGAAGACAUGGCUAUCACGAGACCUGAAAAAUGAAUAGGAACACAAAUGAUGAAGUGUGACCUCUGUUAUGUUCAUUUUGUCAAACUCUGUCAUAAACCUGAAAAUCAGCAUCAACAUGAUCUUCAUCAUCUUCAAACAGCACAUGGUAACAAGGAGUUGAUAUGGUCUGUGAUUUGCUGCAGGACAGCAUCCACAACAAACUGCGAACCACAGCACGGUGUAACAGAGUAGCCUCAAAUUUCCAUCAAAGGAAUGAGUUGUCUGAGGAAGCAAUGUGUUCCUCAUCCUUUAAGAGACUGAGGCAGCAAGGAGAAUGUUGGGGAAAGGAACUUUGGGCUGAAUUGAAGGUCAUCUCCGUGGAAUCGCCUCCGGCUGAGUUCAGUCCUCUCAGUAUGUUCCUUACUGCUGCCCUUCCAGGCUGUGCCACAACCACCCUCAUCCCUGCAGUCCAAAACACAAGAACUGGACACGUUUAACCUCCAAGAAAUACAAAUAGUGCCUAAUUCCAAGAGCUUUGGUGACCAUGAGCAAAAAAGAUGGAGUAAUAAAAGAGUCAAGGACCACACGGAGGCGACAUUUCCAGCCACCUGGCAUUGAGACACAGUCUUGUCCUGGAAUGUGCACAUCACCACUUUCUUUAAAGACCACAAAACCCUCCCAUUUUUGAUUUUUCCCUUUCUCUCCCCAUCCGCUGGCUGAAUGUGGAGAAUUCUGAGGUCCUAAAAGGGGAUGAGGCUGGAAGAUGGCAGGCAUCUGGAUCUCAAAAGAUCACGCACAUGCUAACAAGGAGCACCCACAUUGAACCAUUAGAUAAAUAAGAAAUCCUUUCUCUACCGAGCUGGGAAGUUGUCUCCUGGGUGUUCCACAGCUAUUGUGCUCAGGUCACUCUAAAAGGCUAUCUAUCCUGGAGGAAGGUAGCACUGUAAAAGAGGAGAAAAAGUAAAAUAUAGUAGCCAUGAGAGUAACAAGCAAACACUCCCCCAAUGGACAAUGAAUGUGACAUUUCUCCUGGUCUGUAUGAUCAGCAUGAAUCAAUUGUGCUUUUGAAGACACGGCCCUAAUCCAUACAUGUUAACUUGAGGAUUUACCUUUCCUCACAACGGUAUAGACAACCUAAACCAUCUGGACUUGGAUGUGAAAUUGACGUGAUCAUACAAACAUAUUUCUGAGAAAGAGUUCAUAAGUUUCAUCAGAUUCACAAAGGGAUCUUCCACCCCAUCAUGAUCCUAUUACUCCCACCAGAAUACAGGGCAUACAUCCAUGGGCUUUCUGGUGGUUUGAGUUUAUUUCCCCACUCCUCCAAGGUGCUCUCUUCAAUUGUCUGCAAGGCUCCAUCACCCUAUUUCAGAGCACGCUGAGGAAGAAAGGGUGUCAAACCAAAUGCAGAAGAACUAAUAAGAAACCCAUGAAAUUGCUCACAAAGGCCUCCUUCUGUGGCUCUUCGUGCAAAU
Molecule: long non-coding RNA, 2923 nt
Organism: Equus caballus (horse)
Lineage: Eukaryota; Metazoa; Chordata; Mammalia; Perissodactyla; Equidae
Source: Ensembl